CAGUCGCCACGGUAAUACAGAGGAUGCAAGCGUUAUCCGGAUUUAUUGGGUUUAAAGGGUGCGUAGGCGGCCUUGUAAGUCAGGGGUGAAAGACGGUAGCUCAACUAUCGCAGUGCCUUUGAUACUGCAGGGCUUGAAUGUACUAGAGGCAGGCGGAAUGUGACAAGUAGCGGUGAAAUGCAUAGAUAUGUCACAGAACACCAAUUGCGAAGGCAGCUUGCCAUGGUAUGAUUGACGCUGAGGCACGAAAGCGUGGGGACCAAACAGGAUUAGAUACCCCGGUAGUCCCUGUCUCUUAUAA
This 301-nucleotide ribosomal RNA is filed under the name uncultured bacterium. RNAcentral's name for it is "partial 16S ribosomal RNA". It matches the Rfam family "Bacterial small subunit ribosomal RNA", at positions 509 to 809 of the family's 1533-position model. The record is from RNAcentral.